CGCACGGGUGAGUAACGCGUAUGCAACUUACUAUCAGGAGGGGGAUAACCCGGCGAAAGUCGGACUAAUACCGCAUGAAGCAGGGGCCCCGCAUGGGGAUAUUUGCUAAAGAUUCAUCGCUGAUAGAUAGGCAUGCGUUCCAUUAGGCAGUUGGCGGGGUAACGGCCCACCAAACCGACGAUGGAUAGGGGUUCUGAGAGGAAGGUCCCCCACAUUGGUACUGAGACACGGACCAA
RNAcentral lists this ribosomal RNA (236 nucleotides) under uncultured bacterium. Its description in RNAcentral is "partial 16S ribosomal RNA". It matches the Rfam family "Bacterial small subunit ribosomal RNA", at positions 99 to 334 of the family's 1533-position model. The record is from RNAcentral.